GCAGACUCACUCUGCACCCAGCCGCAGCCCCAGGCGGGUGCUUUUUCCGUCUGCCACAGGAACUGGCGGGGGGCUGUGACUUGCCCUGUUAAGGGCAGCACAGCUACCCCGGUACACGGGU
RNAcentral lists this small nucleolar RNA (121 nucleotides) under Cervus elaphus hippelaphus. RNAcentral describes it as "Small nucleolar RNA SNORA77". It matches the Rfam family "Small nucleolar RNA SNORA77". From Rfam's summary of the family: ACA63 (SNORA77) is a member of the H/ACA class of snoRNAs that guide the sites of modification of uridines to pseudouridines. This snoRNA was identified by computational screening and its expression in mouse experimentally verified by Northern blot and primer extension analysis. ACA63 is proposed to guide the pseudouridylation of 18S rRNA U814. The record is from Rfam by way of RNAcentral. Lineage: Eukaryota; Metazoa; Chordata; Mammalia; Artiodactyla; Cervidae. RNAcentral also lists the same sequence under 1 other name.